RNAcentral lists this long non-coding RNA (1045 nucleotides) under Nicotiana benthamiana. RNAcentral describes it as "long non-coding RNA (NBEN_LNC027312)". Lineage: Eukaryota; Viridiplantae; Streptophyta; Magnoliopsida; Solanales; Solanaceae. The record is from RNAcentral.
UGCAGGGGCCUUUACGUAAAGUAAGUCACGGAGUUGAAGAAGACUCGGUUUAUCCACCAGUUUGUGAAGGGCGUGCUGUCAGUUUUCUUUAUGAUUUAGUUAGCAAAGAUUCUAUUGUCGUAACUGCGUGGAGUGGUGGCCAGUUGCAAAUUGAUGCUCUAGCUGAUGAAGUACAGCCGGUUUGGAAGGUCGGUAGCCCUCCUCGGGUUUGUCUGGAUUCAACUGAUAGUAUAGUUGGCCUUGCAAUGAUUUGCGAGUCAUUGUCCAGUGACACCUCUAUUUUGAAGCUUGACCUGCCACCUGAUCAUACCUUAUGGUUGGGGCAUCCACCUCCUCUUUUGAGGCUUGCUAUUGUGGAUUUAGCUCUGCCCAUAAGAAGUGGUUCCAUUAUAUCAAUGUUUGUUGAUCCCCUUAUUUCAGAAAGAAUAUAUUGCCUUCAUGAGGGAGGAAUUCCACCUCCUCUUUUGAGGCUGGCUAUUGUGGAUUUAGCUCUGCCCAUAAGAAGUGGUUCCAUUAUAUCAAUGUUUGUUGAUCCCCUUAUUUCAGAAAGAAUAUAUUGCCUUCAUGAGGGAGGAAUUGAUUCAGUAGUUUUACACUUUUUGCCUUUCACUAAUCAGAGUAGUGGCAAAGAAGACAUGAUGAGAAGGCCCUCUGUGUAUCCCGUUCUUAGCACUUUCCAAGGAGAAGCAUCCUCAGCCUCCCCACUUUGUGGUUUCUUGGCACUGUCAGAUUCUUUCGGAGAUUCAUGGAUUGUGGGUCUUACCCCUUCUUGUGAGUGUAUAGUGUUGGAGAUGGAGACUUGGAAUACACUGGUUCCCCCAAUUAUUGAUAAGGUUGACAAACUCAUAGACUCAGAGGAGCCAAAAGAUACAGAUAUUCCUACUAUCAUAAGCAAAGAACUCCUUUCUGGGCCCAGGGUAGUUCUUUUGCCCCCUUCAUCACCUCAUUUACGCUCCGUUGCUGCUGAUUCAAUUGAAGGCAGAUCAACACUUCAUCAGUAUUUCAAGCUUUUUCAUGAAAAUUAUGUGGAAUAUGCCCACAAGGU